This 253-nucleotide ribosomal RNA is filed under the name uncultured bacterium. RNAcentral's name for it is "partial 16S ribosomal RNA". It matches the Rfam family "Bacterial small subunit ribosomal RNA", at positions 524 to 776 of the family's 1533-position model. The record is from RNAcentral.
UACGUAGGGGGCUAGCGUUGUCCGGAUUUAUUGGGCGUAAAGAGCGUGUAGGCGGCCAUGUAGGUCCGGUGUGAAAACUCGAGGCUCAACCUCGAGAUGUCGGCGGAAACCGUCUGGCUAGAGUCCGGAAGAGGAGAGUGGAAUUCCUGGUGUAGCGGUGAAAUGCGCAGAUAUCAGGAGGAACACCAGCGGCGAAGGCGCUGCUCUGGGCCGGUACUGACGCUGAGGAGCGAAAGCGUGGGGAGCGAACAGG